Molecule: long non-coding RNA, 1665 nt
Filed under: Hordeum vulgare
Lineage: Eukaryota; Viridiplantae; Streptophyta; Magnoliopsida; Poales; Poaceae
Description: long non-coding RNA (HVUL_LNC010845)
Source: RNAcentral
UCUGCUUCACGGAGGCAUUCUUCUUCCAAGCGGGAUCUCAGGCAAGAUGAUCAUUUCCCUACAUACCAUUACUAUCAUUGCCAUGCUAGUUUUACCGUUCCUAUCGUUUAUGUCUCGUUGCCUACCACAUGUUAAAUAUCAGCCUCUCACCAAUGCCAUGAAACCUUCAACCUGUUCGACCUAGCAAACCACUGAUUGGCUAUGUUACUGCUUGCUUAACCCUGUGUUGGCGUUGCUAGUUGCAGGUGCAGAUGCUUCCAUGUGAAAGCAUGGGUUCCUUGUUAUAUCACCAUAUUAAAUGCUAUUUAAUUUAAUGCACCUAUAUACUUGGUAAAAGGUGGAAGGCUCGGCCUUUCUAGCCUGGUGUUUUGUUCCACCUUUGCCCCCUUAGUUACCGGCUACCGGUGUUAUGUUCCAUAAUUGAGCGCUCCUAACACGAUCGGGGUUGUUAUGGGGAACCCCUUGAUAAUUCGUUUUAGAUUAAGACUGGUUUGGCAAGGCCCAACAUUGGUACUACAUUUGCCUAAUCACCUAAUAAAAUUGCAUAGGGACCCGCCGGCACCCGUGGACUAUUUUAAUCAACCCCCGGGCCAGUGCUCCUCAUGAGUGUUGGUCCAAAACAGAGCAGCUUAUUAACGCUACCCGGGGCAACUCGGCGUUUGGCGUGGUAACCAUCGCUCAUCCGUCGUGUCCUGAGAACGAGGUACGCGACUCCUAUCGGGAUCGUCGACACGUCGGGCGGCCUUGCUGGAUUAGUUUUACCUUUGACGAGAUAUCUUGUGCAUCGGGAUUCCGGUGAUGCUUUGGGUAAUCUCAAAGUUGAGGUUUUCCACUAGGGAAUCCGAGGAGAUCGCGAGCUUCGCGAUUGAGGAUUUCUAUGUGGCUUGUGGUAAUUUGUGAUGGACUAGUUGGAGCACCCCUGCAGGGUUAAAUCUUUCGGAAAGCCGUGCCUGCAGUUAUGUGGCAACGUGGAAACUUUGUUUAACACUGGUUCUAGAUAACUUGAAGUUAACUUAAUUAAAACAUGCCAACUGUGUGCGUAACCGUGACUGUCUCUUUCGUGAGUUCUUUCUCCGAUCGAGGACACGGUGGGGUUAUGACUGACGUAGGUAGGUGUUCAGGAUCAUUCAUUUGAUCAUCUGUAGUUCACGUCCGCUAUGCGUAGAUCUUCCCCCUCUUAUUUCUGGUACUCGUAAGUUAGCCACCAAAUAUAUGCUUAGUCGCUGCUGCAACCUCACCACUUAACCUUACCUCACCCAAUUAAGCUUUGCUAGUCUUGAUACCUUUGGAAAUGAGAUUGCUGAGUCCCCUGUGGCUCAGAGAUUACUACAACAGCAGUUGCAGGUACAGGUAAAGGUUACUUGACGCGAGCGCGUUGAUUGUUCAUUUGGAGUUGCUUCUUCUUCUACUUCAUCGAUCUAGGAUGGGUUCCAGGCCGACAGCCUGGGAUAGCAAGGAUGGACGUCGUUCUUCUUUUGUCGUUUGUUUUCGUCCGUAGUCGGACCCUGCUCUUACUCUUGAUGAUUAUGUAAUGUACUGAUGUGACUCUGAUGUAGCUUGUGGCGAGUGUAAGCCAAUUCUAUAUAUCUCUUCUUUUCAGUACAUGUACUUGUAAAGAUAUCCAUUCUUGCGACACGACGAGAUGCGCUUCUAUCCCUGACGAGG